CUUGGUCAUUUAGAGGAAGUAAAAGUCGUAACAAGGUAACCGUAGGUGAACCUGCGGUUGGAUCAUUAGUAAAUUUCGACGUUCGGUUGGUGUGGUUGCAAAACCGCCUAGCCGACUUCCAUGGCUUUGGCUUCAACGCAUUGUUUGUUAGCCCGGGUUUCCUUUUUUGGAUCAACCUGGGGGUCAUCAUAUCGCUCUGCGUUCCAUGCCAUUCCAUGGUAGCGUCAAAACUCCUAUGUGCAACGUUUGGGGUUUGGUUGGAAAGCACGAGGUUUUUACUUCAUGCCGAAAGCCAUUUCCCAUUCCACUAUUUUAUAAUUUGUCUAACUUCAUUUAAUAUAUAAUAUUAAAACAGCUUUUGGCAACGGAUCUCUUGGCUCUCGCAACGAUGAAGAACGCAGCGAAAUGCGAUACGUAGUGUGAAUUGCAGAAUAUAGUGAAUCAUCGAAUCUUUGAACGCACCUUGCGCUCCCUGGUAUUCCGGGGAGCAUGCCCGUUUCAGUACCAUUAAAUUCUCACAAGCUCUCUUUGCUUUGUUAUGAAGCAAUUUGAGCCGGUGGAUAUGGGUGCUUUUUGCAUGGCACUUUCGGGUGUUUGUUGCAAAUCGCCUGGAAUUCAUUUGCGUGCUGCAGUUCGGCUCUUUUGCUGGUCGAUCAAGUGCAACAGAUUUUUCUAUUCACUUGACAACGGUAGGGGUAGCAGUCCUGCUUGGUAUGCAGAAUACAAUUAUACCAGUUGUCGUUCUUUUAGAGCUGCAUCUGUUUAACUUGGUCUGAAAUCGGGUAAGAAAACCCGCUGAACUUAAGCAUAUCAAUAAGCGGAGGA
This 825-nucleotide ribosomal RNA is filed under the name uncultured Kochiomyces. RNAcentral's name for it is "eukaryotic LSU rRNA". The stretch from base 354 to 507 matches the Rfam family "5.8S ribosomal RNA". The record is from RNAcentral. Lineage: Eukaryota; Fungi; Chytridiomycota; Chytridiomycetes; Spizellomycetales; Spizellomycetaceae.